Long non-coding RNA from Mustela lutreola (European mink), 2547 nucleotides. RefSeq lists it as uncharacterized. The transcript is spliced from 2 exons. The record is from RefSeq and is a predicted model, not a curated record. NCBI's taxonomy places the organism in Eukaryota, Metazoa, Chordata, Mammalia, Carnivora, Mustelidae.
CCAGAGCCCAAAGAAGAAAGGCGCUGGGGGGCGGGGAACUGAGGAGGCCGGAGAGAGGGGGAGCGGUGGGUCUGGGAAGACAGGUAAAGUCGGGGAAAUUUCGAGAACUCCCCCGAGUUAACCCUUCAGGGCACCCACCACUAGGAGGAGCCUCCCUGCUCCCCCCACCUCACCCCAGGCAAAUCCUCUAGUCAGCGUUCUGACAACGUUAAUUUCCUUUGUGUGGGUCAUUUCUUCUUUUUGAAAAUCCAAGAUAAAGUUGACAGUCUUUAUAGAUGAAAGGAGGGAGGUGACAGUCGGGAUUAAUCCAAAUAAAUACUCAUUUCUCUCUCAGAAAUUUUUAGGCAAUCUCAGAUUAAAAAUAAAACCCCCAAAGCAUCACUUUUGUAUUGCACAUUAUGCUGCCUCCCUCUUCUCACCCUUGUAGCGAAGUCUGAGGGGAGGAGGCGGGGAAGCGCUACUGAUAAUACCAGCUUUAACUACUGGAGUUUCCCUUUGAACAAAUAUUCAAUUUAACCGGAGUUAAUUUACCAUAAAAGACAUUCCCCUUGGCACGAAUGCACUCAUGUCCUUGAACACACCUCUUUGAAUGCCUGGACUCUUACAGAAGCCAUUAUUUCGGGUCUCUUUAAAAAUCCGGAGCCCAUCUCUCUCUCUUUCUCUCCCUCCCUCCUUUCUUCCCUCCCUCCACACCACACCACCCCCAGUGAAAUCCUGGCACCCAGAGAGCGCUCCUUUCAGCCAGAGAUCCCAGAACCAGCCGCUGUCCCCUGGCAAAAGAGGCCCAGGGCUGAGCCCUGGGCAAGUGUCUGCAGACAACGUACCCCUCCUCUCCUGUUAGUUUCCCUUACCAACAGAAAUCAUUUCCCUCUGCCACCCAAACCAGAUUGCAUCCAAAAGUUUCUCAUAAGCUUAAAAACGAAAAGCGAAAAAUUGACAACUGUUACACAGAAGAGCCCACAAAUCUACAGCAGCAGCAGGGUGAAGAAGCAGCGACAGACCCAGCUCUUGAAUGUGAUUUGAGGGGAGGCUCAACAACCACACACCCUAGCUGCUUCGCCAAUAUCAAUAUUUUAAAACUAAAUACAAAAGAGACAGAUGACCUCCUGACCCCAGGACCCAGGCCUGCAAAACUGCAAGUAUUCACCACACCAGGCCCAGGGUCCUAUCCUCCUGCCAGGUGAACCACAAAAAUCAUAUGCGUGUAGCCCAGAAAACACAAUUUCAUAUCCACAAGGGGGAACACCAAAAAUCCACUCAAAAGCACAUAUAUAAACAACCAACAAGUACUGAAAUUGCCUGCACUUGAUGGGAAUUACAGAAUCAUGCCCAGCUCUCUCAGCCCUUAAACUACUAACUGUCAAAUUAGGGUAGCAAUUUUUCCCUCCUAGAAAAUUCACAACUGGUUAGCUCCCCACCCCCACCCCCCCACUGCCAGCGCUUUGCCUUUCACUGAAAGGAAUAAAUAACCGUGGACUUUUCUUCCCUCCUCUGGGAGCUGUUUGGUGUCCCCUGAGGACAAAACUAAAUGAGAAAAAUGACGCUGUUAAUAAUGUCGCUGCUGAAAUGCCUGUACUCGACUGUUAAAAAAAAAAAAAAAAAAAAAAAAACCAUCCCACUAAGUGUGCUUACAUUUCGGGCACAUUUAAAAGCUACGACAGAAUGUGAACAGCCACUAGGCCAGACUCCUCUAUUAAGGUUAGCCGGUUUCCACUUCUCUCCAGAGAUGAAACGAGUUCAUCAGCAGAGUCCCAACUUCUGAAGACAUUUGCUCCCGGAUUACAAAGUCAGCAGUUGCCUGAAACUUUUGCAUGAUUUAUUUUAAACCUUGAAAAUCACGGUAAUAAUUGCCUUGCUUCAUUCACAGUUCUUCAAAAGUUCCUUGCAGUCUCUUCUCUGCUGAGGCUGAGAAUGUACUUAUAGUCGUUUUUCAAAACAGUUGACCUUUAAAGUAAAACUAUACUAUCAUUUUAUUUCUACAUAUAAACUGAUUUUUUUGUUACUUAUCUACAUACGCCGAUGUGACAGGAAAACAGAUCAGUUUUAAGGAGGUGUUUAAAAGCUUUAUCCUUAUUUUGGAUAAGGAGUCUUUACAUUCUAUAUUAAUAAGUAUAGAAGGUGUACUGCAAAGAAACUCAAACUUUUUGCACCCAUUUCUCUAAGUCUUCCUUUGAAAACUGCCAUUCUGUUUCAAAAUCAAAAUAACACAUGACAACAGAAUUGAGCAUUUUAACUUUCAAAUUAAAAAUUUAACAAACAAUUGUGUAAUUACAAAGAGAAAGACAAACUAUUGGGCCUACACAAAAUAUAUGUUCAGUAAACUUCAUCUCUGAAAUGUUUUAACAACACAGAAAGUUAAUAAAUUUCAAAGCAAUAAAAUUGUCAAAUCACGUGAUGUCACAAACUCUAAAAGCAAGGUUACAGAUGUUCAUGACAUCAUAUUCACUCAUAAUUAUACUGCUGCUCAGUCUGAUCAUAUUAAAAUUAAAAGAUGUCUAUGUCUGCUAAAGAAUAAAAGGAAUUUAUUUUGGACAUCAAACAAUGAAA